AGCGAUUACGUCGUGAACAAUGCCGCCUGCCCUGUCACCGUUGUCAAGCCAGCGAGUAACCAUGCCUGAUCUCAUCAUCGCAAAUGUCCACAUGUGUUUUAGUUUGCCAGAGUCCUAUAUAUCCAGUUGGCCGCAACUUAUUGAACCAUCCAGUGUUAUUUGUAAUAAUAAUUGACAAUUAGCCUGUGGAUGAUUCCCAGGUGUGUGUAAUCUGUGCAUGUGUCCUGUACAUCCUGUACAUUUGUGUGCUUAUCUUCAGCCUAGCUUUUGCUCCAUGAGUCAGUCCGUGCUGCUGUUUGUUGCAUACAGUUUGUAGAGUCUGAAUAAAAUGGAUUCUGCUGUCCAUUGCAGAUGCUAGUAAUUUUCUUUCAGCAUUAAAAGAACAGUCACAUUACGGUUGCAUCUGAUGCCACAGUGGAUCAUGAUGAUAAUC
Molecule: long non-coding RNA, 433 nt
Filed under: Triticum aestivum (bread wheat)
Lineage: Eukaryota; Viridiplantae; Streptophyta; Magnoliopsida; Poales; Poaceae
Description: long non-coding RNA (TAES_LNC015080)
Source: RNAcentral